AUUGAACGCUGGCGGCAGGCUUAACACAUGCAAGUCGAGCGGGGUGAUGGUGCUUGCACUAUCACUUAGCGGCGGACGGGUGAGUAAUGCUUAGGAAUCUGCCUAUUAGUGGGGGACAACAUCUCGAAAGGGAUGCUAAUACCGCAUACGUCCUACGGGAGAAAGCAGGGGAUCACUUGUGACCUUGCGCUAAUAGAUGAGCCUAAGUCGGCUUAGCUAGUCGGUGGGGUAAAGGCCUACCAAGGCGACGAUCUGUAGCGGGUCUGAGAGGAUGAUCCGCCACACUGGGACUGAGACACGGCCCAGACUCCUACGGGAGGCAGCAGUGGGGAAUAUUGGACAAUGGGGGGAACCCUGAUCCAGCCAUGCCGCGUGUGUGAAGAAGGCCUUAUGGUAGUAAAGCACUUUAAGCGAGGAGGAGGCUCUUUUGGUUAAUACCCAAGAUGAGUGGACGUUACUCGCAGAAUAAGCACCGGCUAACUCUGUGCCAGCCGCCGCCGUAA
This 503-nucleotide ribosomal RNA is filed under the name uncultured bacterium. Its description in RNAcentral is "partial 16S ribosomal RNA". It matches the Rfam family "Bacterial small subunit ribosomal RNA", at positions 30 to 523 of the family's 1533-position model. The record is from RNAcentral.